Molecule: ribosomal RNA, 406 nt
Filed under: uncultured bacterium
Lineage: Bacteria
Description: partial 16S ribosomal RNA
Rfam family: Bacterial small subunit ribosomal RNA
Source: RNAcentral
AUUGAACGCUGGCGGCAGGCCUAACACAUGCAAGUCGACCGAGUGGCGGACGUGUGAGUAAUGUCUGGGAAACUGCACGAUGGAGGGGGAUAACUACUGGAAACGGUAGCUCAUACCUCAUGCCAUCGGAUGUGCCCAGAUGGGAUUGGCUAGUGGGUGGGGUAACGGCUCACGUAGGCGACGAACCCUAGCUGUUCUGAGAGGAUGACGAGCCACACUGGAACUGAGACUAGGUCCAAGCGCGUUCGGUAGGCGGCAGUGGGGAAGAUGGAACAAUGGGUGAAGGCCAGAUGCAGCGCUGCCGCGAGUGUGAAGAAGGAAUUCGGUUUGCAAAGUACUUUUAGUGUGGAGGCGUUACCUUCAGAAGAAGCACCGGCUAACGCCGUGCCAGCAGCCGCGGUAAUAC